RNAcentral lists this ribosomal RNA (322 nucleotides) under Bacillus pumilus. Its description in RNAcentral is "bacterial LSU rRNA". It matches the Rfam family "Bacterial large subunit ribosomal RNA", at positions 2629 to 2925 of the family's 2925-position model. The record is from RNAcentral. Lineage: Bacteria; Bacillati; Bacillota; Bacilli; Caryophanales; Bacillaceae.
GUUCGGUCCCUAUCUGCCGUGGGCGUUGGAUGAUUGAAGGGAGUUGCUCCUAGUACGAGAGGACCGGAGUGAACGAACCUCUGGUGUUCGGGUUGUCACGCCAGUGGCACUGCCCGGUAGCUAAGUUCGGAAUCGAUAACCGCUGAAAGCAUCUAAGCGGGAAGCGAGCCCUGAGAUGAGUCAUCCCUGACCCCUUGAGGGUCCUAAAGGGCCGUUGGAGACCACAACGUUGAUAGGUGGGGUGUGUAAGCGCGGCGACGUGUUGAGCUAACCCAUACUAAUUACCCGUGAGGCUUAACCAUACAACACCCAAGAAGUGUUC